AAGGUCAUGUGGAACUUCUCCAGCAGUAUUCACUUGGAAGUGGAGGAGACCCCGACCAUGCAGGCUUCCUCCAGGAAGUUAUAUUCCUGCUUCUAAUGAAUCACCUUAACUAUGUGCGUCUGUGUCUUUGUGUAAGAGUUUUCAAGUUCUAUGCAAUAAUAAAGUGUAUGUGGUUUUAAGAUUUGGUUUACAAAUCUAAAAACAUUUGCUCCUAUCAUAUGAUGUAAACAAAAACUAUUGUGUGUUUGAUUAAAAACUACACAUAAUACUAUUGAUCCUAAUAUUGAAAUAGUUGUUGAAUCCUUUUGAUCAGUGGUUGGUUAAGCCUCUAGCGUUUUUACAUCAGAUUUUGGAUUUGACUUCUAGGGAAUGUAUUAGGUUUAAGUAUAUAUAUGGAUGCAACCUUUAGCACAUAUUCCGACGUAUUCUAUGUUGAAUGUUCUGUAACCAUUUUGUGUUCUACGAUUAAAAUGUCUAUCGUGACUGUAAUAUUAAUAGAAUCGCCAAUCGUGAACGUAUAUGUGUAAGUGAAAUCGUUUGUAAUAAUAUGUGUUGGAUGUGGUAUGCUAUUUUUAUAAUUCAUAGAGAUUAAUUUAUUGAAUCCUUCCUAAAUUUUGUUAAAUUACGUGGAAUCAUUCCUAAAUUUUGUUAAAUCCUUGUUAAAUUACAUGGAAUCCUUCCUAAAUUUUGUUGAAUCCUUCCUAAAUUUCUUGGGUUUUUUUUUUGCAGGAAAAGUCGGACGGAAAUUUAUUUGGUGGGAAAAUUUUGACGAUUUUUUUUUCCGGGACCGGAAAUUAUUUUGGCAGAAAAUUUUUAUGGAAAUUAUUUUGGCGAGAAAAUUUUGACGGGAUUUUGUUUUGGCGGGAAAAUAUUAACGAUGAAUUUGUGAUUUUUAUAUUUAUUUAUAAUUAUGUAUUAAUUUAAAAAAUCAAAAAUAAGGUGCUAUUUUUGUCCCAAAAACUUAAUUUGGGACUAUAAGAGACAAUUUUUCUAUAUAAAUUUUUUUUUUUAAUAUAAAUUAUCAUAAAUAUUAAUUUAAAAAUUUACAAAUAUAGCGACUGUUUAAAACGACAGUCAAACGAACAACACAGAAACAGUCGCCAGCGAUAAGCAAACGAAUAAUACAUGAUGUCCCUGAUCGCUGAUUGCUGUCGUUGGUCGCUGCCGCUGAAUCAAACGACAGGCAAACGAACAUGGACCUCAGUAAGAAGCGAAGUUAAAAGGAAAAAACUAAAAAAGCUUAGAUGACCAAUUCAACGAUCAUUGAUAGUGGCAAAGUGCGAUGGAGUCUUUGUUAUUUGCUUUCAACAUAAGUCAAAGUCAUCUGCGGUUCAUCUUAAAUCAAGCAAUCUCAAAUGACACUGAAAAUAAAGUUUCAAGUCGUUGUUACUUUCUUCUUUUUAAGUCAACGUACACUAAUAGUCAACUCCACUUAAUAUAUUCUUUUCGAUUAAUAUGAAAUGGCAAGGAAGUCGUAUUUAAAUUUUUCCAAAACAACGGACAAAGACUUAUCUCUUAAAAUUCAAAUUUGUAAAUCAACAACAAGAAGGAAUAUUUUAGGUUUGUAGGUCAUAUAGAAACCGCGUUCACAAGUAAAACUUUGAAAUAAAGCUAGUUAACAAGAAAAACUAAAUAUCAAGUGUUGUUAGUUCAAUCGGUAAAGACCAUAGGCGAAGUUUAAAAGUCGCCGGUUCGAGUGACGCUUGGGACGAAACUAAUAUUACAUGAUGUGGUUUCGGAGCUGGGGAUUACGGGCUUUGUCCCACAACCUCCAGGUAUUCAAAAAAAAUAAAAAACAAGAAAACUAAAUAGGGAAACCAAAAAUAUGAGGUUAGGCUAGGGAUGUCAAUUGGGCUGUCGAGGUUCAAAUGGGACCAACACCAAAUAGGACCAUGAUAGUAUAAACCCAAAUAGGACCGUGUCUAAUUAAGUCCAAAUCCAAAUAAGACCAUGAGGCCCAAAUAAUAUGAUUUUCUAUUUCCCGCCAAAACCGCAAAAACACUUUUUUUCUCCAAAUCGAAGAAUUGCAUUUUUCCGCCAAAUCGUAAAAUUGCAUUUUCCGCCAAAACUGUAAAAUUAUUUUUUUGAGUGAAAAUGUCAGUGUAAAUCCUAUUUUUAAAACAAAUAAAGAAAAAAAAAAUUUAAUCCAAAUUAGUAACCCUAAUUUUUAAGGCUUAUUGGACGGCCCAUGUCCAGAUGAGUUCGGCCCAUUUGUUUGUAGACUAAAUGGGCUUCUAGCCCAUAUUGACCGUUUCGAAUUUGGGCAUGACCAAAUCUGGACCAAAAAUAUGAGGUUACGGGGCUGGGGGAUUACGGGCUUUGUCCCAUAACCUCCAUGUAUUCAAAAAAAAGAAAAAAAAACAAGAAAACUAAAUAGGGAAACAAAAAAUAUGAGGUUAGGGCCUAACCGUUAGGCCUUCUAUAUAUAUAUCACAAACUUGCGAUGAAAAAAAAACGCAACGAAAGAGAAAUGGGUUCGAAGUCUACAAAUAUUUCUGCACUUUUGUUAACACUGCUUCUUAUACUUUUCACUCUUUCCUCUCAGCUUGAAGUCGUGGAAUGUACAGGCCGCAAACUGUGUAAGUUUCUUUACAACAAAUAAACUAUAUCUCUUGCCCUAUCUCUUUUAUGUUUUCUUGUGUAUAUCAUUUUUGAUGCGAAAAUGGAAAGAGUGUAUGGCAAGAUAUAAAUUCAUCCUUACAUUACAUCAACAAUUUCUAAGUAAAGUUGUGAAAAGAACGAGUUCAAAAUCGAUUUUUCCUUCAAAGUAAAUAAAAAAUCUCGCUUAGUUUAGUUUUGAACUUUAAUAUGUCAGCGUGGGGGUUUUCGGGAACGCCUAUCGUGUACACACCACCUUCAAGGUCAUGUGGAACUUCUCCAGCAGUAUUCACUUGGAAGUGGAGGAGACCCCGACCAUGCAGGCUUCCUCCAGGAAGUUAUAUUCCUGCUUCUAAUGAAUCACCUUAACUAUGUGCGUCUGUGUCUUUGUGUAAGAGUUUUCAAGUUCUAUGCAAUAAUAAAGUGUAUGUGGUUUUAAGAUUUGGUUUACAAAUCUAAAAACAUUUGCU
RNAcentral lists this long non-coding RNA (3068 nucleotides) under Arabidopsis lyrata. RNAcentral's name for it is "long non-coding RNA (ALYR_LNC002755)". The record is from RNAcentral. Lineage: Eukaryota; Viridiplantae; Streptophyta; Magnoliopsida; Brassicales; Brassicaceae.